This 22-nucleotide microRNA is filed under the name Callithrix jacchus (white-tufted-ear marmoset). RNAcentral's name for it is "cja-miR-653". Its record names the gene cja-miR-653. Lineage: Eukaryota; Metazoa; Chordata; Mammalia; Primates; Cebidae. The record is from miRBase by way of RNAcentral.
UUGAGACAAUCUCUACUGAAUC